Molecule: unclassified non-coding RNA, 458 nt
Filed under: Hevea brasiliensis (rubber tree)
Lineage: Eukaryota; Viridiplantae; Streptophyta; Magnoliopsida; Malpighiales; Euphorbiaceae
Source: RNAcentral
CAGGCAUACAAACCAACCAAUACGCCACCUUUUAACAAUCACAUUGCAAGUUAACUCAACAAUAUGAAAAAACAUCUCAUUUUUCAGCUUCUUCCAUUUCCCACUCUCACUCGAAUAAACCUCAAAUGUGGUUCGGGACUGCAAACAUUAUGCCCACACAAAAGAUUCUCAAGAUCAAUAAUUCGUUAUGUUGGUAAUCAAAAGCCAUUCCAAUAGACGCCAAAAAGUGCAGUUCCGGACGAGGCAAGCUAUCAGUGAGCUCCACCAUCUUAUACUUCCUCAUCGCCGGAUUCCAAAGGGUAAUCAGUUCAACCCAUGGUGGACUAAAAAGGCAGAUAAAGCCAUGGCAAGGACCCACAAUGUACAUAUUGGGGAAGAAACAGGGGAACGGGCUGUCCACCUGGACAACUGAUUCUGGCGGGUUGUAUAGUGAGACUUGUUAUUCUUACAAUAACUUG